Daphnia pulicaria is the source of this 4173-nucleotide long non-coding RNA. RefSeq lists it as uncharacterized. The record is from RefSeq and is a predicted model, not a curated record. Lineage: Eukaryota; Metazoa; Arthropoda; Branchiopoda; Diplostraca; Daphniidae. The transcript has 3 exons.
UCGAAAAAGUCAAAAAGAGAUAAAGUUUAAGAUUACAAAAGAAACAGAACGACCCCCUUUUCUUUUUGGAAACAUAUGUGGCUUCACGAAAAAUAGCAAAACAAAUAAAAUUAGGCCUACUUAAAUAUGAUCGUCGUGUGAACUCUGGUGUCGCGGCUCCAGUCCACUGGUUCAUGCCUCCAAUCCAUGCUGUUUAGCAGAUUUGAGCCUUCAUUUGCUGUGAGCCCCCUGUUUCAUUUUCAGUAGCUUGAGCCGGCAAUUAUAACCACAAAUUAUGCAAGUUUUGCUUGUGCUGGCAUUGACCAGUCAUCAGCAGCAAUCUCAGUAUCAUCACUUUGGUCAGGCUUGGCAUCCAUCUUGAUUGAAGAAACUUUUGAUGUCGGUCGAGUUACGGAUCUCUUCUGCCCCUUGUGAGUAGGGGUUAUUCACGAUGACGCCCUUUUUCUAUUCCGGCUGGUGGAUUCAGCUUUUUCAACGGAUGGAUGGAAGCACUUGUAGAUGGAUGCCUGGCCGGAUCCCCCAGGCAUAAAGGUCGGACAAAUUUAAUAUUCCUGCACGGCCUCCUCGCUUCAGAUUCUGUCCGGUUGUUAUUACGAAUAGCUUUUGGCUAUCGUCUUUGCGUGUGUGUCUUUUUUUAUCGCUCCAUUAUUUUAUGUAACAAAAGAUGAGAAAACAGCUUUCCCAGGCAUCCGCAAUUGCGCUCGUCUAAUGUAGAACGAUAAUGAUGUGGGGCCGGGAAUAUUUAUACGACGCUUUUAUGAAUAGUGCUACUCCAGUUUAUGACUCCGGGGGGAACAUUUUAACGAUCCUUCAGUCACGGCUCGUCGCCGAUGGACAAUUCAUGUUUUUUAAGACCUGUGAUAUUUGUAGCAGCAACAACAACAGACAUGUGUGUGAUGCGAUUUCAUUGUCUUCCACCGUCGCUUUUGUCCAGCAUGUUGCCCUUGCAUCUCCCGGGAUUAUCUUUUUGGGUGGAGUGGAAACUUAAACAAUAAAAAGAUGAAAGGGAAAGUUUUUUUCUGAUUUUUAAUUCCAUCCGCCGAGGCCCAGCAGUCAACUGGGCGCAGCGCUGAUAGAUCUUUAUCAAUGACUUAUAUUAACUAUAGUAUAUAGCUGCUACUACUCCUCGGAUAUAAAAUUCUAAUGCGAGUUUCUCACGCCAAAUUUAAUGAACCGUAUAAAAGUUUAGCGAGUCGAAAGGUAGAGGCAGCACACAAGGCUACUACGUACAUAUAUCGUUUGUCUAUUAAAUUGCGCAUGCAUCGGCGAUGACAAUAAUGAUAGGACUCGCUUGUGUGUUGGCGAGAAGACACUAUAAAGCAGGCAGUUGUUUUCUCCAACCUUGCGUGAAUGUACCGUUUUUCUGUUGCCGUGGCUCAGUUAUAGAUUUCGUACUUUCCAUUUUCCCCGCGCGCGCAUAUUUGAGUUGGUCGCUUAGAUAACAGCAGCAGCUGCUGCCAUAUAGGAUAACCAAUGGGGGGCCUCGUUAUUCUACUAAAUGGUGAAACCAACUUAUUAUACGGAACGACGACGACUAGAAAUAGCCAAAUUCCAUCCGUCGUUGAUUGUCUUGCGGUUCUUUCGUAUACAUAAAACAUCAACUUUUUCGGGGCCGAAGCGCCCAUCGUUCGACUUAGUCGAAUGUUUAGUGAAAUCUUCCAUUGCAGCUAUAGGAUGAUCUCUUUUCUCUUUCUUUCUCGAUUUUACCUAUCGACAUGAUUGAAACCAAAUGAGGCAAGGAGCAUCGUUCGUGAUCGGGAUAAUCCGUCCUUGGGAUUCUGACGUGAGUUUGUUUCUAAACCUCAAAAUGAGAGGGUCCCGACGAUUUUGAAAGAAUGAAAUCAUUUAGUAUUCUAUUAUUACGUCGUCCGGUUGUACACGAGAAAGUGUUGCACAGAUGACGAUGUGUACGCGUGACAAUGCCCAGCAGGCUGUGAUGUGAUGAGAUCGUGAUUUUCGGAUGUCCCGUUUGAGCUGCUGGUGCGGGAGUAAUCGAGGUUUGUGGUGAUUCACUCGGCGUCGCUGGGAUGAACAUCUUCGACAGCAGUCGAGCAAUCACGCGUGACGGAGAAAAUCGUGUCGGCCGUGACCGCGAGCGCUUGAUGACAAUCGACAUCACACAUGACUUGUUCAUGUCUCAACUGCGUUUCAUUUCGGUCGACCUUACGUCAUUUGACGGCUGCACAAACGGCAAUAAAUUAACGACAAAUUUUUUAAGCUGUUGCGUGCUCACCUGCCGUUAUUACCAUCCCGGGGCUGAACUUGGAAUUGUCGAAAGUGAAAGUGCUUACAGAGCCGAUCAUCUAAAUGAUAUAGACUUCGUAUGGGACGUCAUUUAAGUGAAAACGAACCAACUAUAGAAAACCGAAAGAAACACACACAAAUGUGGGUCAAAGUUCGGUUGGAUCACAGAGCUAUUAAAAGCCCUGCUGGAUGUGUAUAAGAAGUAGGUGAGUUGUGUUUAGUUUUAUGCAUGCACCACACCUCCUCGCCCAUUACGUGUAGCCCAGCCAGCCGUGUAUAAUAUUUAAUGAUGUCAGCGUGUUGCUCAUCGACAUGGGAGUCAUCAUUGUUUUGUUAUUUUAUUUUUUGGACAACCAAAAAUCGGUUGCGCUAAAUUAUUUAUUGGCGAAAGGGGUUGGGUCUCUCUUGCACUUAAAUUAGCUCGUUAUCAUUUCUAACCGUGACCCUCUAUCGACGGUGAAAACAAUGUACACAACACAGCACAACUUUCGAUAAGCAUAAAUAAUUCUCCGGGGCUAUGGGAACAAGAUGGCCAAUUUGGCCUGCACCUUCUAUUAAAAACAAGAAAUAUUUUCUUUUAUUUUCUCCCGGACUGUAUAGUUUUCUUCCUAGAGUCAUUAUAACUACAUAAUAUGCAGGUUGCAAUAAAACUCUUUUAAGUAUAACGCCCGGAGGAAUUUCGGAGGGCUAGAAAUUCAUUUUUUUGCCUUGUCUCUUUAAUAAUCUACUGCUGUAUGCGGUUUGUGUUGCCUUUUUGGUUUGGUACCAUUAAGAAGAGCUUGUCCAAACGGUUAAAAUUUCUCCACGCUUACAUUAUUUACGACCGCACCUCGCGCUUGUAACGAUUGGAGAGCGAAACAAACAAAAAAUAAUAAGCGAAAAGAGCCAAGAGAGAGAAUGCGCGGCGGAAUAAGUAUCGGUGCUGUGCUCCUCCCUAUCCAUCGUGAGCCAGGAGCAAGGUCAUUCAUCCGUGCAUUGUGUUGUUGUUGUUGUUGCGAAGAAAGCCCGGCCAACGGACCUGCUCAACAUGUGGUCGGAUUUUUAAACACAACAACAACGGUGAAUUAUAUUAUUUUCCGUUAUUUUCAUACCUCCGCUUGACUGAGUCUCUAUCCAUAAAUGAGCUGGCGUGUCCAUGUUUUUCUUUCCUUUCAUUGACGCAAGAGUAUAUCCACUAGACAUUUUAUGCGAACGCUCUCGAUACAAAAAAGGAUGUCAAGAUGAAACGAAAGAAAUAGUGUAACGACAAGGUGUGGCAUCGCCCUGAUUUCUAUUCAUCGGCCAAUGCGCAAAAAAGGACCAAAUUCAUUUCGCUUGACGUCCUCAAGUGGGAAAUAAUGCAGUUAAACUGUCAGUCGUACAUAAUAGACCCGGAUUAGAUAUGGCUGUGUAUUAUUAUGGAAUAUCAAAUGCGAAUAAGGGUCCAUUAUUUUUUGAAGGCUGUGACUAUUUGACCGUUAUCGUUUUUCAAAGUCGAUGAAGCAAUCACGGAUCGUUAAGGGAGUUAGCGGGUCCGCUUUUUUGGGCGAAUUUGCCGGUCUGGUGAAUCCGUUAAUUGUUUUCUUGACCAAUAUCUAUGGAAAACGAUGGCAUUGAACGCAGUUCUAAUUAUAUUGAAGGGGGAUUCGUAUACUUGAAAUAACACCCUUAUAAUAAUAACCUUGACAAAUCGACUCGAUAUGGUUUAUUAAGGUUGCAUCGUCGCGGUACAGUUGCCAAGGAGAAUUCAUCUGCCGAAUCGAUCAAGGACAAAAUGUCCAAUUCCAUUAAAUCGAGUUUAUUAGUGAAAAUCAGUGAUAUUUGGGAACUGCGUAUUAAAAAUGAAAAACCUGCGGCGAGAAUCCAAUAAAUUCUACGUGAAUUUCUGCACAACAUUUAUUUAUUAUUUUUUUACUACAAGUAUACUUUCUAACAUUUUUCUUUUUAUUG